Cajanus cajan (pigeon pea) is the source of this 714-nucleotide non-coding RNA. The record is from RefSeq and is a predicted model, not a curated record. NCBI's taxonomy places the organism in Eukaryota, Viridiplantae, Streptophyta, Magnoliopsida, Fabales, Fabaceae.
CACCACCCCCCCCCCCCCCCCUCUCCUGACCGCUGUGCUACGCCACCGAACAUGCACAAAUCCUCCAACCGCCCAAAGCCCUCUUCCUUGCCGACAAACGCCCCAUACAUGGUUCACGAGAAAGGUGCUGUUGUGGCUAAUAAAGAGAUUUACAAUAAGGAUACUUGGAGUGCAAGGCUUUGGUUAUUAUGUUUAGAUACUAUGAUGUUAUAUGCCUGCUUUGGUUGCGUUAUUUUAUUUACAACCUUGGACAAAAAUGGUUGGGAUAACUAGGGCUUAUGGUAAAAUGACUUCUACCUGUUUGAUUAAAAACUUGUAUGAAGAAAUGGAGCUGCACAUUGGGAUGUCUAAUUCGAUUGCUUCUGAUGUUCAUGGGAAUGAUAAGUUGGAGUUGUAAAACUAGGUGUUUGAUGCUGUUUUGGUUCAUAAUUUAAUGGUACAGAUGAUUUACAAUGGGACGGAGGCAGUGGGCUUGGAGGGGUCGGUGCACGGUGAUCGGUAGCACUAUGGAUGGUGUACAAUGGUCCGACAUUGAGGGAUUGUUGAGAAAGGAAGAUAUGGUGCUGGUAUAGCAAUAUGAAAGGUGCAUCAUAAUAACAUGACUUGAUUAAUCUAAAAAUCAAUGAGUCCGUUUGAAUAUAAAUUAAAAAUAUUUUUAUGAGUUUGUCUAUUAAAAAUAAAAAAUAUUUUUUAAUAGAAAGAUUUUUAAAAACA